Armigeres subalbatus is the source of this 1660-nucleotide long non-coding RNA. RefSeq lists it as uncharacterized. NCBI's taxonomy places the organism in Eukaryota, Metazoa, Arthropoda, Insecta, Diptera, Culicidae. The transcript is spliced from 3 exons. The record is from RefSeq and is a predicted model, not a curated record.
GGUUCGGUUUUGUUUGAUAUUUAUUAAAAACAAUUUAUUUAAUAACGAUUACUGGUAAAUUCGCGAGGAAAACUGUUUAUUAUUAAACUUUACGUGUGAUUCGAAAGUUUGGAACGGACCCGAGACAAUAAGGUUGGAUUUUGUCACACUGUAUGGGUCUGGGAAAGACUUUGCAAGUCUUGGAAGUAACCGGAGGUAAACGAUAUUGGUCAAUCUUGAAACCACUGGCGUUUUAACCGCCUCUCGGAAACUCUCAUCUUGGACCAAAAACACAACCGCUGGACAAACACGACGUUGCCGCUACCCCACCGCUUUCUCGCCAGGAUCGUUUACAGAUUUUAAGCGCAAAAUCAUAAUCGCCAACAAUGCUAACCGAACGCGGCUCUCAUUAAGAAAACAGCCACCAACGUCGAUUCCACAAUGAACGACCACAAUUCAACCGGCUCAGGCGCAAAUCAGCUGAAUCAAGGGUGAACUCGAAUUGGUCAAGUACAUCAAGUACAUCCGCAUGAAGUUGCGACGGAUUUGCAAGGCCAUUAUUCCGGCUGACCAAUCGCUUAUUGCAGCUAGACAGCCAAUGGACUUCAUACCGGGCAUGAAGCUGGGGGUGGUGGAUCGCAAGAACCAAAUGCUCAUUCGGCCGCCAACGGUCGCGGCCACGGACGGGUGCAAAAUUAAAGUAUGCUUCAAUGAUUGGCCAAAUUUUUACUCUUCUGGAUUGAGGACGAUAGCUGGACAUUCAUCCGAUAUAAGCGGACCUACCAUCCAAUCGAAUUUCCACCAGACCAUCGACCUGCGUGUAUUAAAAGUUUAUUCUGCCUGGGAAAAGAGAAUGCCAAAUUUCUAACGCAAACAACUGCACAACAGAGUAGGAAAUGUACCUACCGGAAUAACAACUGGUUGUUUGAGGAGGGAAAAAGAUACGAUUGAUGCACGAGUCUAAUGCAAAAUUCAAACAUUGGCCAUAAAUGGAGCCGCUGGAUAAGACACGUAAAAGCAUAAUCCACGCAAAACACCAACUCGACGCAGGCAGUUGCGCAGACUACUCUACCAGCUGGCGGCACAAAUUCCGGUAGCAAUAGUGUUCCAAAUCCCAUGCUACGCAACAUUUUUACUUCCCCCGGUGGGAUACUUCUUGAACUUGUGGCCACGACUGCAGGCGCAUCCCUUCAUCGUCCGUUCUUGAACAAAUGAUCCAUGAAUCCACCUUAGCGAAGUGUUCAAAAACGUAGCUUUUUAGCCGUGAAAUAGAUUAAAAAAGAUUAAAAUGUUUCCGUUUCUAACAUAAAUAAAAACAAUGUUUAACAUCAACAAUUGAGCUUUCUGACGUCUAAUCAUUUUUCUCUUUGAAGUGCACAGGAAGGAUAUUAAUACUAUUUACCCAGACUAAGGCCGAAGUGGCCUGUGCGGUAUACAAGAGUCUUCUCCAUUCGGCUACACGUCACCAACCACGCAGUCUACGGAGGGUCCGCAAGUCAUCUUCCACCUGAUCGAUCCACCUUGCCCGCUGCGCACCUAGUCUUCUUGUGCUCGUCUGUUCGUUGUCGAGAAACAUUUUCACCGGGUUACUGCUCGACAUUCUGGCUACGUGCCCGGCCCACCGCAGUCGUCCGAUUUUCGCGGUGUGAACGAUGGAUGGUUCUCCCAGCAGCUCAUGCAA